AAAUGCAAGUCGAACGGGUGUAGCAAUACACCAGUGGCGGACGGGUGAGUAAUGAAUCGCUAAUGUACCCCGGAGCCAGGGAUAGCUGCCCGAAAGGGCAGGUAAUACCUGAUGAGACCACGGUGCCGCAUGGCACAGUGCUCAAAGCAGCAAUGCACUCUGGGAGCAGGCGAUUUUGUAUCAGCUAGUUGGUGAGGUAACGGCUCACCAAGGCGACGACGCAUAGCCGGACUGAGAGGUUGGCCGGCCACAUUGGGACUGAGACACUGCCCAGACUCCUACGGGGGGCUGCAGUAACGAAUCUUCCGCAAUGCACGAAAGUGUGACGGAGCGACGCCGCGUGUAGGACGAAGCCCUUCGGGGUGUAAACUACUGUCAGGGGAAAGAAAGUUCUGAUCUACCCCAGAGGAAGGGACGGCUAACUCUGUGCCAGCAGCCGCGGUAAGACAGAGGUCCCGAGCGUUAGGCGGAAUCACUGGGCUUAAAGCGUGUGUAGGCGGAUUUGUAAGUACCUUGUGAAAUCCCACGGCUCAACCGUGGAACUGCUCGGUAUACUGCUUAUCUUGGGCCAUCUAGGGGCUAGCGGAACAAACGGUGGAGCGGUGAAAUGCGUAGAUAUCGUUUGGAACGCCAAUGGUGAAAACAGCUAGCUGGGGAUGUGCCGACGCUGAGACACGAAAGCCAGGGGAGCAAACGGGAUUAGAUACCCCGGUAGUCCUGGCUGUAAACGAUGUCGACUAGAUCGUGGUGGCUCUGACGCUUUCACGGUCGAAGCAAAAGUGCUAAGUCGACCGCCUGGGAAGUACGGUCGCAAGGCUAAAACUCAAAGGAAUUGAC
RNAcentral lists this ribosomal RNA (837 nucleotides) under uncultured bacterium. RNAcentral describes it as "bacterial SSU rRNA". It matches the Rfam family "Bacterial small subunit ribosomal RNA", at positions 53 to 914 of the family's 1533-position model. The record is from RNAcentral.